UUGAGCUUCUCUCUAGGCUCUGGAGUCCUUCAUUUUUCUUUCUUUUAACUUAGAACCUGCAUAUCUUUGAUCAAAGAACUAUGUGUAUAUAGCCUGACAUCGCAGACUCCUCAACUUCUAGAAGUAUUUUUCAUUGCAUGCAUGCAUGAAUGAAUCUGCUUCUGUCACUCCUUACUCUUGAUACAACAGAAUGAACAUAUCCAGCUUAAGAGAGACCUCCAGUGAGAACACAACUCAUUUGAUCCAAAGAAUUAGAUCCAUAUCUGACACUGUUAAUAUAUGCCCACCUACUUCUGAGGAAAGUCCUAAGAUAUUUCAUCUAACAGUGACACACAAUGUUGGAUUCAAAGUUCUCUUUUCUCAAAACACACAUGAAGAAGCCAUGUGUGGUGUUUUGCACCUGCAAUCCCAGCACUAGGGAGCAUGAGAGGUCUGAGACCAAAUGCAGAAGUCAUAUAUGGAAGAAGUUCUCACUUCAACUGCUCAUGGAGCUGUGGUUGGAACACAAAUUGACAAAGGAAGAUUCGGGAAAGCUGAAAGUCCUCAGAUAUUUCUAAAUCAGACAAAAAGUUGAAGGAAAUGAAAAUAAAAAGGAAAGAAAAAAAAAGAAUGAAAGAAAGAACAUAUGGAAAGAAGAAGUAAGGAAAAGAGGAAGAGAAGAAGGAGGGAUGAAGGAAAGAGGACAGAGGAAAUGAGAAAGGAAGGAGGAAGUAACAAAAGGUAGAAGGAAAAGAGAAAAGGGAGUAUACUUCUUUGCUCUUGAGAAAGAAGAGACUGGCCAUCACUAGUCGUUGAUGUUCUAUUUAAUACUUAGGGUCAAAUAAUUGGUUUGAAAUAGUACUUGUUUGAGUCCCAAACUGUGUUUGGUGAAGUGAGAUGCUCUCUCAGGAUGGAAAUGGUGAAAGAUACCACACUUCUUUCUUCUCUGAAGCUUUUGUCACCAAUCUCCCAGGAUCUUUAACAGGACUAAGGAACAUCUGAUUUUAUUCACCUGUACCCUCAAAAUUCUCCAGAUGAUAUUUAGAAAUCAAAGAGUAGUGGCGAAGAACCUUGUACAUAUUGGCACAGGGGAUAACUUCCUGAACAGAAUACCAGCAGCUUAGAAACUAAGAUCAACAAUUAAUAAAUGAUACCUCAUGAAAUUGAAAAGCUUCUGUAAGGCAAAGGACACCAUCAAAAAGACCAAACAGCAGCCAACAGAAUAGAAAAAUAUCUUUCCCCACCUUACAUGCAACUGAGGGCUAAUAUCCAAAAUAUAUAAGACCUCAAGAAACUAGACAUCAACAAAUCAAGUAACAAAUUAAAAAUGGGGUGCAAAUCUAAACAGAGAAUUUUCUACAGAGAAAUCUCUAAUGGCUGAGAAGCAGUUAAAGAAAUGUUCAACAUCCUUAGUCAUCAAGAAAAUGCAAAUCAAAAUGACUCUGAGAUUCCAUCUUACACCCAUCAGAAUGGCUAAGAUCAAAAACUCAAGUGACAGCACAAACUGGCAAGGAUGUGGAGAAAGAGGAAGACUCCUCCAUUGCUGGUGGGACUACAAACUUGAACUACCAUUCUGAAAUCAAUUUGGAAGUCUCUUAAAAAAUUGGGAAUAUUUCUACCUCAAGACCGAGCUGCACCACUCAUGGGCAUAUACCCAAAAGGUACUCCUUCAUACCACGAGGAUGCUCAACUAUGUUAAUAGCAGUUUUAUUUGUAAUUGCUAGAAACUGGAAACAACAUUAAAUGUUCCUCAUCUGAAGAAUGGAUAAAGAAAAUGUGGUACAUUUAUACAAUGGAAUACUACUCAACUAUUAAAAAUAAUGAAACGAGAAAUUUGCAGCAAAUGAAUGGAACUAGAAAGAUUAUCCUGAAUGACAUAACCCAGACCCAGAAAGACACACAUAUACUUAUUUAUAAGGGUAUAUUAGCUAUAAAGUAAAAGAUAACCAUGCUGCAAUCCAUAAACCCAAAGAAGCUAAGUAUCAAGGAAGGCUCAAAGGGAGUAGGCAUGAAUCUCACUGAGAAGGGGAAAUAGAAUAGACAUUAUGAGUAGACAAGGUGUCAUGCUGGACAUGGGUUAGGGUGGGGAUGGAACAGGAGGGAUCAGGUGGGGAUAGGACAGAGGAAGUGAGUACUGGGAGAGACAACAGGAAUGAGGAGUUAUCUCUGGAAUGAGCUAGACAUCUAGGAUAAUAGCAACUCCCAGGAAACUACGAGGAUGACUCUAGCUAAACUCCUAGCAAUGGAGAAUCUGUAACAUGGAGCAGCCAUCUCCAGUAACCAGAGAAGACUUCCAAUAGAGGGACUGGGACACCAACCCAGCCACAAAACCUUAGACUCACAAUUUGUCCUGCCUACAAGAUGUACAGAGGUAAAGUUGGAGCAGAAAUUGCGGAAUGUCCAACCAAUGACUGGUCCAGCUUGAGAGUCAUUCAAAGAGAGAGAUAGCGAGCUGACCCCUGACAAUAUCAAUGACAUUCUUCUAUACUUGGAGACAGGAACCUAGCAUAACCAUUAUCAGAGAAGCUUCACCCAACAACUUUUGGAAAAAGAUACAGAGACCCACAGUAAAACAUUAAGUGGAGCUUAAUGUUCCACAUCCUGUGGAAGAGGCAGAAAAAGAAUUAAAAGAGCCAGAGGUGUCAAGACAUCACAAGAAAACCUACAGAAUCAACUAAUCUAGGCCCAUAGGUGCUCACAGACAUGGAACUGUCAACCAGGGAGCAUGCAUGGGAUAGACCAAAGCUCUCUGCACGUAUGUAACAGUUGUAUAAUUUGGUCUUCAUAUAGGACUCCUAACAGCAGGAGCACAGGCUGUCUCUGACUCUGUUGCCUGCCUUUGGAUCCCUUUUCCCUAGCUGGGAUGCCUUGUCUAGCCUCAAUAGGAGAACUUAUUGCAAUUUGAUAUACCAAGAGAGUUUGCUAUCUAUUGAAAGCUUCCUCUUUUUUCGAAGUGAAAGGAAAAAGUGAGAGGGAGAGACUGGAGGGAGAGAAGCGUGAGGAAUCUUCUAUAGAAAUGCAAAAAGAAGGACAUUGUAGCCAGUCCUGAAGAGACCUGGUAAGCUAGGAUCAGAUGGAAGGGGAGGAGGACCUCCCUUAUCAGUGGACUUAGAGAAGGGCAGGGAGGAGAUAA
Meriones unguiculatus (Mongolian gerbil) is the source of this 3112-nucleotide long non-coding RNA. RefSeq lists it as uncharacterized. Lineage: Eukaryota; Metazoa; Chordata; Mammalia; Rodentia; Muridae. The record is from RefSeq and is a predicted model, not a curated record. The transcript has 3 exons.